UACUAGAGUAGCACUCGCAUAUCAAUAAGCGGAGGAAAAGAAACUAACAAGGAUUCCCCUAGUAACGGCGAGUGAAGCGGGAAGAGCUCAAAUUUGAAAUCUUAAAGGGUUUCCCUUUACGAAUUGUAGUUUAAAGAAGUGUUUUCUGUUGAGGUUUUGGUAAAAGUUCUUUGGAAUAGGACAUCAUAGAGGGUGAGAAUCCCGUAUUUGACCUUUACUUUCAACUUUGUGAUACACUUUCAAAGAGUCGGAUUGUUUGGGAAUGCAGUCCAAAAUGGGUGGUAAAUUUCAUCUAAAGCUAAAUAUUGGCGAGAGACCGAUAGCGAACAAGUACCGUGAGGGAGAGAUGAAAAGAACUUUGAAAAGAGAGUUAAACAGUACGUGAAAUUGUCAAAAGGGAAGCGUUUGACACCAGUGUUGUUUUUCUGAAAAUCAAUUAAAGAACUGUUUAUGCUAAGCUGUUUAGACUUUAUCAGCUAUCUGUUUAGUUUUGAGCUUUUCUUUAAUGCACUUUUCAGUUAACAAGUCAACAUCAAUUUCUUUUGCUGUAAAAAAGCUUGAGGAAGGUGGCUUGAGAUUCGUCUUAAGUGUUUAUAGCCUCUUGCCUAUGCAGUCGGAGAGAUUGAGGUCUGCAGCGUAGAUCCUUCGGGGCUAAAUGCAUUUGUGCUAAGUUAUAGCAUUUCAUAGACAACUUGUUGACUAUGAUUUGUCUUGUAGCUUACUCGCUUAUGUUAUUUUACCUACGCUUAGGAUGUUGAUCUACAGAGCGAGAG
RNAcentral lists this ribosomal RNA (773 nucleotides) under uncultured Neocallimastigales. Its description in RNAcentral is "partial large subunit ribosomal RNA". It matches the Rfam family "Eukaryotic large subunit ribosomal RNA", at positions 20 to 635 of the family's 3401-position model. Lineage: Eukaryota; Fungi; Neocallimastigomycota; Neocallimastigomycetes; Neocallimastigales. The record is from RNAcentral.